CCUACGGGGGGCAGCAGUGGGGAAUAUUGCUCAAUGGGCGAAAGCCUGACGCAGCGACGCCGCGUGAGGGAUGAAGGUCUUCGGAUCGUAAACCUCUGUCAGCAGGGAAGAACGGUCACUGUGCUAAUCAGCAGUGAAUUGACGGUACCUGCAAAGGAAGCACCGGCUAACUCCGUGCCAGCAGCCGCGGUAAUACGGAGGGUGCGAGCGUUAAUCGGAAUUACUGGGCGUAAAGCGCUCGUAGGCGGUAUGUCAAGUCAAGGGGGAAAUCCCCGCGCUCAACGUGGGAAGUGCCUUUGAAACUGGCAAACUGGAGUGUGUGAGAGGAUAGGGGAAUUCCAGGUGUAGGAGGGAAAUCCGUAGAUAUCUGGAGGAACAUCAGUGGCGAAGGCGACUAUCUGGCACAUAACUGACGCUGAGGAGCGAAAGCGUGGGUAGCAAACAGGAUUAGAUACCCGGGUAGUC
RNAcentral lists this ribosomal RNA (465 nucleotides) under uncultured bacterium. RNAcentral describes it as "partial 16S ribosomal RNA". It matches the Rfam family "Bacterial small subunit ribosomal RNA", at positions 338 to 795 of the family's 1533-position model. The record is from RNAcentral.